AUUUGGUCAGUCUUUACGUUGCCUAAUUUCGUAGGAUCUCAUUCGAAUAAGCAUACGUUUUCAUACAAUAUCGUACAAACCCGUUCAUGAGAAUGCGUUGCAGAGUUGAAAAUAAACAACAGCGAGGGGAUUUUUUUCUGACAUCGUCUGAGGUAAAAUACUUUCAAAAUCCCUUUUUUUUUCAUUUCCUAAAAAUGAUUCCCUGGAAACGGGUGUUCGUUUCUAAGGAGGGUUUUACUCCAAACCACAAUCUUUUUCCUAAACUUAACCAGUCGUUUUGGUGCCUAAACUUAACGGUCGUUGCCGCAUGACUCCUACUUUGUUCGGAGUACACAUGUCCUGA
Sander lucioperca (pikeperch) is the source of this 343-nucleotide long non-coding RNA. RefSeq lists it as uncharacterized. The transcript is spliced from 3 exons. The record is from RefSeq and is a predicted model, not a curated record. Lineage: Eukaryota; Metazoa; Chordata; Actinopteri; Perciformes; Percidae.